UACGGGGGGAGCAAGCGUUGUUCGGAUUUACUGGGCGUAAAGGGCGCGUAGGCGGUCGUGACAAGUCACUUGUGAAAUCUCCGGGCUUAACUCGGAACGGUCAAGUGAUACUGUCGGACUAGAGUACAGAAGGGGCAACUGGAAUUCUCGGUGUAGCGGUGAAAUGCGUAGAUAUCGAGAGGAACACCUGCGGCGAAGGCGGGUUGCUGGGCUGAUACUGACGCUGAGGCGCGAAAGUCAGGGGAGCGAACGGG
RNAcentral lists this ribosomal RNA (254 nucleotides) under uncultured bacterium. Its description in RNAcentral is "partial 16S ribosomal RNA". It matches the Rfam family "Bacterial small subunit ribosomal RNA", at positions 524 to 776 of the family's 1533-position model. The record is from RNAcentral.